RNAcentral lists this ribosomal RNA (441 nucleotides) under uncultured bacterium. RNAcentral's name for it is "partial 16S ribosomal RNA". It matches the Rfam family "Bacterial small subunit ribosomal RNA", at positions 338 to 795 of the family's 1533-position model. The record is from RNAcentral.
CCUACGGGGUGCAGCAGUGGGGAAUAUUGCACAAUGGGGGAAACCCUGAUGCAGCAACGCCGCGUGAAGGAAGACGGUUUUCGGAUUGUAAACUUCUGUUCUUAGUGAAGAAUAAUGACGGUACCUGUCGAAUAAGCCACGGCUAACUACGUGCCAGCAGCCGCGGUAAUACGUAGGUGGCAAGCGUUGUCCGGAUUUACUGGGUGUAAAGGGCGUGUAGCCGGGUUGACAAGUCAGAUGUGAAAUCCUGCGGCUUAACCGCAGAACUGCAUUUGAAACUGUUGAUCUUGAGUACUGGAGAGGCAGACGGAAUUCCUAGUGUAGCGGUGAAAUGCGUAGAUAUUAGGAGGAACACCAGUGGCGAAGGCGGUCUGCUGGACAGCAACUGACGGUGAGGCGCGAAAGCGUGGGGAGCAAACAGGAUUAGAUACCCCUGUAGUC